GAGACUCUGUGCGCGUGCAUAUCAAUAAGCGGAGGAAAAGAAACUAACAAGGAUUCCCUUAGUAACGGCGAGUGAAGCGGGAAGAGCUCAAAUUUGAAAUCUUCAAGGUUCUACCUUGACGAAUUGUAGUUUAAAGAAGUGUUUUCUGUUAGAUGAGUAGCAAAAGUUCCUUGGAAUGGGACAUCAUAGAGGGUGAGAAUCCCGUAUUUGGUUAUUCAUUCUAGCUUUGUGAUACACUUUCAAAGAGUCGGAUUGUUUGGGAAUGCAGUCCAAAAUGGGUGGUAAAUUUCAUCUAAGCUAAAUAUUGGCGAGAGACCGAUAGCGAACAAGUACCGUGAGGGAAAGAUGAAAAGAACUUUGAAAAGAGAGUUAAACAGUACGUGAAAUUGUCAAAAGGGAAGCGUUUGACACCAGUGUUGUUUUUCCGAAAAUCAAUUACGAAUGGCUUGAUUUUGUGUUGUAUUGACCUUAUCAGCUUUCUUCACUUUUUUCGAGUCUUUCUUAAUGCACUUUUCGGUUAACAAGUCAACAUCAAUUUCUUUUGUUGUAAAAGAGUAUUCGGAAGGUGGCUUUCUUUUCGGAGAAAGUGUUUAUAGCCCUAUACUUCUACAAUCGGAGAGAUUGAGGUCUGCAGCGUAGAUCCUUCGGGGUUAGAUACACUUGUGCUAAGUUGUAGCUUUUCAUAGACAACUUGUUGACUAUGUUUAGUCAUGCGGCUUACUCGCUUAUGCUAUUUUACCUACGCUUAGGAUGUUGACUGAUAUGUAGUCGU
This 772-nucleotide ribosomal RNA is filed under the name uncultured Neocallimastigales. Its description in RNAcentral is "partial large subunit ribosomal RNA". It matches the Rfam family "Eukaryotic large subunit ribosomal RNA", at positions 23 to 643 of the family's 3401-position model. Lineage: Eukaryota; Fungi; Neocallimastigomycota; Neocallimastigomycetes; Neocallimastigales. The record is from RNAcentral.